This is a long non-coding RNA of Amphimedon queenslandica, 172 nucleotides long. RefSeq lists it as uncharacterized. NCBI's taxonomy places the organism in Eukaryota, Metazoa, Porifera, Demospongiae, Haplosclerida, Niphatidae. The record is from RefSeq and is a predicted model, not a curated record. The transcript is spliced from 3 exons.
AUAUAUCACUACAGAACAGUAUUGAUUAUAAAGUUGAUAGAGAUCAAGUGAGACGAGUUGAAUUCACUCAAGGAGACAAUGGUGUAUAUACAAGAUUGUUUGCGAGGAAAAUAAAGAAUUAAUAAUAACAUUAUAAUGACAGUAAAUACACUGUGUGUGUGUGUGACUGUGU